This 910-nucleotide ribosomal RNA is filed under the name uncultured bacterium. RNAcentral describes it as "bacterial SSU rRNA". It matches the Rfam family "Bacterial small subunit ribosomal RNA", at positions 33 to 912 of the family's 1533-position model. The record is from RNAcentral.
ACGCUGGCGGCGUGCUUAACACAUGCAAGUCGAACGAAGAACGAUGGAAGCUUGCUUCUAUCAAUCUUAGUGGCGAACGGGUGAGUAACGCGUAAUCAACCUGCCCUUCAGAGGGGGACAACAGUUGGAAACGACUGCUAAUACCGCAUACGAUCUGACCUCGGCAUCGAGGAUAGAUGAAAGGUGGCCUCUAUUUAUAAGCUAUCACUGAAGGAGGGGAUUGCGUCUGAUUAGCUAGUUGGAGGGGUAACGGCCCACCAAGGCGACGAUCAGUAGCCGGUCUGAGAGGAUGAACGGCCACAUUGGGACUGAGACACGGCCCAGACUCCUACGGGAGGCAGCAGUGGGGAAUCUUCCGCAAUGGACGAAAGUCUGACGGAGCAACGCCGCGUGAGUGAUGACGGCCUUCGGGUUGUAAAGCUCUGUUAAUCGGGACGAAAGGCCUUCUUGCGAAUAGUUAGAAGGAUUGACGGUACCGGAAUAGAAAGCCACGGCUAACUACGUGCCAGCAGCCGCGGUAAUACGUAGGUGGCAAGCGUUGUCCGGAAUUAUUGGGCGUAAAGCGCGCGCAGGCGGAUUGGUCAGUCUGUCUUAAAAGUUCGGGGCUUAACCCCGUGAUGGGAUGGAAACUGCCAAUCUAGAGUAUCGGAGAGGAAAGUGGAAUUCCUAGUGUAGCGGUGAAAUGCGUAGAUAUUAGGAAGAACACCAGUGGCGAAGGCGACUUUCUGGACGAAAACUGACGCUGAGGCGCGAAAGCCAGGGGAGCGAACGGGAUUAGAUGCCCCGGUAGUCCUGGCCGUAAACGAUGGGUACUAGGUGUAGGAGGUAUCGACCCCUUCUGUGCCGGAGUUAACGCAAUAAGUACCCCGCCUGGGGAGUACGACCGCAAGGUUGAAACUCAAAGGAAUUG